RNAcentral lists this long non-coding RNA (719 nucleotides) under Ananas comosus (pineapple). RNAcentral describes it as "long non-coding RNA (ACOM_LNC015063)". Lineage: Eukaryota; Viridiplantae; Streptophyta; Magnoliopsida; Poales; Bromeliaceae. The record is from RNAcentral.
UGUUUUGCCAUGUGGCAAGUUUUUCUUCACCUUCACCACCAUGUGAUUCUUUCCCUUCUCUCCAUCAAAUUUUUAAUUAACGUAUCUAAUUAAUACAUCUAAAAUGGCCUACUACUAAACUUCCAAUUAAUUUAUUUAAAUUCUCCAUUAAAUUUUUAAUUAACGUUUCUAAUUAAUACAUCUAAAAUGACCUACUACUAAACUUCCAAUUAAUGUAUUUAAAUGGUUCCCUAUCAAGUUUUUCUUCACCUUCACCACCAUGUGAUUCUUCCCCUUCUCUUCAUCAAAUUUUUAAUUAACGUAUCUAAUUAAUACAUCUAAAAUGGUGAUCUACUACUAAACUUCCAAUUAAUGUAUUUAAAUUCUCCAUUAAAUUUUUAAUUAACGUAUCUAAUUAAUACAUCUAAAAUGGCCCACUACUAAACUUUCAAUUAAUGUAUUUAAAUGUUCCCCCUGUCAUUUAUAAUUCUCAUCAUUUUAUUUCUAAUUAAUUUAUUACGAUCCUUCACUUUUCCUCCACAUGACUUCUAAUUAAUCCAUCUUCGCCAAGUUUAAUUUGUUUAUUUAUUUUAAUUAUUUUGUAUGUACAAUUUUGAAAUUAUCAAAAUAAAUCAAGAGGAAAAAAAAGAAUGCUCACGUAAUAUAGAAAAUUUUUUUUAAAGCAAAGUAGAUAGUAAUUUUAAUUGUUUCAUCAGAAAAAAUUUAAUUACUAACAUUAU